RNAcentral lists this long non-coding RNA (1030 nucleotides) under Struthio camelus australis. Its description in RNAcentral is "lncRNA (ENSSCUG00000001327.1)". Lineage: Eukaryota; Metazoa; Chordata; Aves; Struthioniformes; Struthionidae. The record is from RNAcentral.
CCCGGGGCUGGAAGUGCCCCGUCCGCCGCCCCGCUGCGGGUUGGAUGUCGGAGCCGCUGGAGCCCCUUGUCAGCCUGGCUGGCCGCUCCACAUGAUGGACUGCGCUCUGCUUGUUUAGGUUUUGUUUCCAGCCACGACAUUCGACCAAAUUAUUCUCCGCGAAGGGCUUUAAAGUUUCCCAAGUGCCUGUGAAAGCCUGGAAACGCUGAUAGUGAUCCUAUUUCUCAGCUGAGUGGCUGCAUUCAGCCCAGGCCAUAUUGAUAUGCAAAACGUUAAGGGUCCCGGUCUAAAGAUGGUUUCUGUCUGCCUUGUGAAAGGGAGCCAUACUUUUUUAAAGCCCAGGCCUUUCUCAAGCCGCACAAUACCAUAUAGACUAUGCCAUUUAAAGCAUCUGAAGCGACCCAAAAUGUAUUGAAAGCUUGCUUUGCAGACUCAUUAAGACUACUCAAUAGGUUCUGGCAAAUACCGUGCCAGGGCUGACCGCGCGGAUUAAGACUUUUGAAGUGUUACACAAACGCCCUGCUUAAACUAAUUGCUGCCCCACGGCUCACGAGGUCAAGUAUUUGUAUUCAUUGCCUCCGAGAGGAGCCACUUGUGGGUCUGCCCAGGUGAAGUCUGCACUUCAUGAGCUCAAGACAAUAAAAGCAGCUCCGGAGCGGAAGGGGGACGCCCUAGCCCUUGCUCCAAGAACCGGUGAAAACCGACAGUCAUCCCCAAUCUGGCGUCCUCCCCUCGUCCCCAUUCCCAAGGUUUCUGCUCACCAGCCGCGUCCGCGGAGGGGAAGCGAUCCAACCCCCCCGCUCCGCCGAGGGCGCUUUGCUCAGAGCAACGAAAUUCCCCGCUUUCUGGCAAAAGCAGCUCUCAAUGGUGCUGUGAUCAAAGCCGGGGCUGAGUGACGGCGCCGCUGAAUGCCACCGUCCUCCUCCUCCUCCCGAGCCGGCCCCGGCCCCGCUCACAACAGCUUUCCCAGCUUGAAACUCUCCCGUCUGUCAACUCGGAUGACAUGGUCAGUGCCGGGGCUCCCUCCGCU